Molecule: ribosomal RNA, 253 nt
Filed under: uncultured bacterium
Lineage: Bacteria
Description: partial 16S ribosomal RNA
Rfam family: Bacterial small subunit ribosomal RNA
Source: RNAcentral
GACGUAGGGGGCAAGCGUUGUCCGGAAUCAUUGGGCGUAAAGCGCGUGUAGGCGGCUCGAUAAGUCUGCUGUGAAAGUCCAGGGCUCAACCCUGGAAGGCCGGUGGAAACUGUCGGGCUAGAGUCCGGAAGAGGCGAGUGGAAUUCCCGGUGUAGCGGUGAAAUGCGCAGAUAUCGGGAGGAACACCAAUGGCGAAGGCAGCUCGCUGGGACGGUACUGACGCUGAGACGCGAAAGCGUGGGGAGCAAACAGG